AUGGCUUCCUUGUUGUUCCUGCGUCUCGUCGUUCCCCUCGCUCUGCUUCUUCUGCCGCUCUCGCGCUCGGCGACGGUGGUGACCCAUCUCACCGGCUUCCAUGGCCGCCUUCCCUUCCACCUGGAGACCGGGUACGUCAACGUGGACGAGGAGACGGGAACGGAGCUCUUCUACUACUUCGUGGAGUCGGAGAGGAGCCCCGACACGGACCCCGUCGUCCUGUGGCUGACGGGAGGACCCCGCUGCUCUAGCUUGAUUUUCUACGAAGUUGGUCCAAUGAAAUUCGUUCUUGCACCUUAUAAUGGUAGUUUGCCAGAGUUGACAUAUAAUCCCGAUUCAUGGUCCAAGGUGGCAAGCAUCAUCUUGUUGGAUUCUCCAGUGGGUACUGGUUUCUCGUAUGCUCGUGAUAUAGAAAGUCAUCGUGAUGUUGGGGAUUUCUCAUCUACUUUGCACAUCAUAACAUUUCUCAACAAGUGGUUUAUCGAUCACCCGCGCUACCAGUCAAAUCCUUUCUUUGUUGGAGGAAGUUCAUAUGCUGGAAAGAUGUCCCCAAUUAUCGCGCAACACAUUUCACAAGAAAUCAAACAAGGGAAGCAACCCAGGAUUAAUCUCAAGGGCUAUCUAGUCGGCAACCCAAUUACAGACUCCAUGUUUUAUGAUAACAAUUUCCAAAUAUCGCGGCAAUGA
RNAcentral lists this ribosomal RNA (687 nucleotides) under Triticum aestivum (bread wheat). RNAcentral describes it as "partial small subunit ribosomal RNA". Lineage: Eukaryota; Viridiplantae; Streptophyta; Magnoliopsida; Poales; Poaceae. The record is from RNAcentral.